AAUAAACCAGUUUUUCAAUUUUUACCUAUAAUUUUUGACUCUUUGUCUUAUUCAUUUUUUUUUGCGAUUGAUAUUUUUGUUUUUAUUAGAUGAUAAAUCAUGAAUAAUACUUUACGUGUGACUAUUUUUUUUAAUUUCCUAAAUUUUUUUCAGAUAAGACGGAUGGUCAAAUGUUGGAUACGAAAACUGAAG
Molecule: microRNA precursor, 192 nt
Filed under: Oryza brachyantha (malo sina)
Lineage: Eukaryota; Viridiplantae; Streptophyta; Magnoliopsida; Poales; Poaceae
Description: MIR812 microRNA precursor family
Rfam family: MIR812 microRNA precursor family
Source: Rfam by way of RNAcentral